This 171-nucleotide ribosomal RNA is filed under the name Sphyraena forsteri (bigeye barracuda). Its description in RNAcentral is "partial 12S rRNA". Lineage: Eukaryota; Metazoa; Chordata; Actinopteri; Sphyraenidae. RNAcentral also lists the same sequence under 1 other name. The record is from RNAcentral.
CACCGCGGUUAUACGAGAGGCUCAAGUUGACGGACCACGGCGUAAAGCGUGGUUAGGGAAAAACAAAAACUAAAGCCGAACGGCCUCUAGGUUGUUACACGCUUCCGAAGGUACGAAGCCCAAUCACGAAAGUAGCUUUAAUCCUCACCUGACUCCACGAAAGCUGAGAAA